CCGAGUUUACAACUCCCAAACCCCUGUGAACAUACCUAUACGCUGCCUCGGCGGAUCAGCCCGCGCCCCGUAAAACGGGACGGCCCGCCCGAGGACCCCUAAACUCUGUUUUUAGUGGAACUUCUGAGUAAAACAAACAAAUAAAUCA
This 148-nucleotide unclassified non-coding RNA is filed under the name soil metagenome. RNAcentral describes it as "partial internal transcribed spacer 1". The record is from RNAcentral.